Molecule: ribosomal RNA, 253 nt
Filed under: uncultured bacterium
Lineage: Bacteria
Description: partial 16S ribosomal RNA
Rfam family: Bacterial small subunit ribosomal RNA
Source: RNAcentral
UACGUAGGGUGCAAGCGUUAAUCGGAAUUACUGGGCGUAAAGCGUGCGCAGGCGGUUGUGUAAGACCGAUGUGAAAUCCCCGGGCUCAACCUGGGAAUUGCGAUGGAGACUGCAAGGCUAGAAUCUGGCAGAGGGGGGUAGAAUUCCACGUGUAGCAGUGAAAUGCGUAGAGAUGUGGAGGAACACCGAUGGCGAAGGCAGCCCCCUGGGUCAAGAUUGACGCUCAUGCACGAAAGCGUGGGGAGCAAACAGG